CCCUAUGGGGUGCAGCAGUCGCGCAAACUCCGCAAUAUGCGAAAGCAUGACGGGGCCAUCCCGAGUGCCAUCCGCUGAGGAUAGCUUUUCUCUAGUGUAAACAGCUGGAGGAAUAAGGAGAGGGCAAGCCUGGUGUCAGCCGCCGCGGUAAUACCAGCUCUCCGAGUGGUGGGGAUUCUUAUUGGGCCUAAAGCAUUCGUAGCUUGCUGGGUAAGUCCUUUGUUAAAUCCACCGACUCAAUCGUUGGAAUGCGAGGGAUACUGCUUAGCUAGGGGGCGGGAGAGGUCGACGGUAUUUCUGGGGUAGGAGUGAAAUCUUAUAAUCCCAGGAGGACCACCAGUGGCGAAGGCUGUCGACUGGAACGCGCCCGACGGUGAGGGAUGAAAGCUGGGGGAGCGAACCGGAUUAGAUACCCGGGUAGUCCCAGCUGUAAACGAUGCAGGCUAGGUGUCAGCGUGGCUACAAGCCACGUUGGUGCCGCAGGGAAGCUGUUGAGCCUGCCGCCUGGGGAGUACGAUCGCAAGAUUGAAACUUAAAGGAAUUGGCGGGGGAGCACCACAAGGGGUGAAGCUUGCGGUUUAAUUGGAGUCAACACCGGAAACCUUACCGGGGGCGACAGCAGAAUGAAGGCCAGAUUAAAGGUCUUGCUGGACAAGCUGAGAGGUGGUGCAUGGCC
RNAcentral lists this ribosomal RNA (676 nucleotides) under uncultured crenarchaeote. RNAcentral's name for it is "bacterial SSU rRNA". It matches the Rfam family "Archaeal small subunit ribosomal RNA", at positions 321 to 999 of the family's 1478-position model. The record is from RNAcentral. Lineage: Archaea; Thermoproteati; Thermoproteota.